RNAcentral lists this ribosomal RNA (492 nucleotides) under uncultured bacterium. RNAcentral's name for it is "partial 16S ribosomal RNA". It matches the Rfam family "Bacterial small subunit ribosomal RNA", at positions 29 to 507 of the family's 1533-position model. The record is from RNAcentral.
AGUGAACGCUGGCGGUAGGCCUAACACAUGCAAGUCGAACGGCAGCACGGUAAGAGCUUGCUCUUACGGGUGGCGAGUGGCGGACGGGUGAGGAAUACAUCGGAAUCUACUUUUUCGUGGGGGAUAACGUAGGGAAACUUACGCUAAUACCGCAUACGACCUACGGGUGAAAGCAGGGGAUCUUCGGACCUUGCGCGAUUGAAUGAGCCGAUGUCGGAUUAGCUAGUUGGCGGGGUAAGGGCCCACCAAGGCGACGAUCCGUAGCUGGUCUGAGAGGAUGAUCAGCCACACUGGAACUGAGACACGGUCCAGACUCCUACGGGAGGCAGCAGUGGGGAAUAUUGGACAAUGGGCGCAAGCCUGAUCCAGCCAUACCGCGUGGGUGAAGAAGGCCUUCGGGUUGUAAAGCCCUUUUGUUGGGAAAGAAAAGCAGCAGGUUAAUACCCCGCUGUUCUGACGGUACCCAAAGAAUAAGCACCGGCUAACUUCGUG